RNAcentral lists this ribosomal RNA (621 nucleotides) under uncultured bacterium. RNAcentral's name for it is "bacterial SSU rRNA". The stretch from base 1 to 532 matches the Rfam family "Bacterial small subunit ribosomal RNA", at positions 338 to 873 of the family's 1533-position model. The record is from RNAcentral.
CCUACGGGAGGCAGCAGUGAGGAAUAUUGGACAAUGGGCGCAAGCCUGAUCCAGCCAUGCCGCGUGCAGGAAGAAGCAUCUAUGGUGUGUAAACUGCUUUUGUACAGGAAGAAGCACUCCCUCGUGAGGGAGCUUGACGGUACUGUAAGAAUAAGGACCGGCUAACUCCGUGCCAGCAGCCGCGGUAAUACGGAGGGUCCGAGCGUUAUCCGGAAUCAUUGGGUUUAAAGGGUCCGUAGGCGGUUUAAUAAGUCAGUGGUGAAAUCUGGUCGCUCAACGAUCAAACGGCCAUUGAUACUGUUAGACUUGAAUUAUAAGGAAGUAACUAGAAUAUGUAGUGUAGCGGUGAAAUGCUUAGAUAUUACAUGGAAUACCAAUUGCGAAGGCAGGUUACUACUUAUGGAUUGACGCUGAUGGACGAAAGCGUGGGGAGCGAACAGGAUUAGAUACCCUGGUAGUCCACGCCGUAAACGAUGGAUACUAGCUGUUCGGAGCAAUCUGAGUGNGUAGACGAAGAGAUAAGUAUACCACCGUCGGAGGUACGUUCGCGAGAAGUAGAACGUAAGUAAGUAAGUAGUAGUACGUAGUAGAGAGCGACGACGACGACGACGGAGGGAGGNG